CAGCAGCCGCGGUAAUACGUAGGGUGCAAGCGUUGUCCGGAAUUAUUGGGCGUAAAGAGCUCGUAGGCGGUUUGUCGCGUCUGCUGUGAAAACGCGAGGCUCAACCUCGCGCCUGCAGUGGGUACGGGCAGACUAGAGUGUGGUAGGGGAGAUUGGAAUUCCUGGUGUAGCGGUGGAAUGCGCAGAUAUCAGGAGGAACACCGAUGGCGAAGGCAGAUCUCUGGGCCAUUACUGACGCUGAGGAGCGAAAGCGUGGGGAGCGAACAGGAUUAGAUACCCGCGUAGUCCCUGUCUCUUAUAC
Molecule: ribosomal RNA, 301 nt
Filed under: uncultured bacterium
Lineage: Bacteria
Description: partial 16S ribosomal RNA
Rfam family: Bacterial small subunit ribosomal RNA
Source: RNAcentral